GCUGACAUCCCGGUUGUUCUUCUGUGCCGGGGGUCUUCCUGCUGUCAUGAAGGACGUACCGGGCUUCCUACAGCAGAGCCAGAGCUCCGGGCCCGGGCAGCCCGCUGUGUGGCACCGUCUGGAGGAGCUCUACACGAAGAACUUUAUGAAAACUUUAUCAGUGAAUUUGAACACAGGGUGAAUCCUUUGUCCCUCGUGGAAAUCAUUCUUCAUGUAGUUAGACAGAUGACUGAUCCUAAUGUGGCUCUUACUUUUCUGGAAAAGACUCGUGAGAAGGUGAAAAGUAGUGAUGAGGCAGUGAUCCUGUGUAAAACAGCCAUUGGAGCUCUAAAAUUAAACAUCGGGGACCUACAGGUUACAAAGGAAACAAUUGAAGAUGUUGAAGAAAUGCUCAACAACCUUCCUGGUGUGACAUCGGUUCACAGUCGUUUCUAUGAUCUCUCCAGUAAAUACUAUCAAACAAUCGGAAACCACGCGUCCUACUACAAAGAUGCUCUGCGGUUUUUGGGCUGUGUUGACAUCAAGGAUCUACCAGGUAACCUAGGCCAUUAAAUCCAUGUCACACAGGAGCAUAUUCUCCAAACUUAGCAUCUGUGAGUUGCUUGAGGUGACAGUUCUCAGAAAUUACUAAGGUGGGGCUGGGCACGGUGGCUCACGCCUGUAAUCCCAGCACUUUGGAAGGCUGAAGUGAGUGGAUCACCUGAGGUCAGGAGUUCGAGACCAGCCUGGCCAACAUGGUGAAACCCUGUCUCUACUAAAAAUACAAAAAACUAGCCAGGUGUGAUGGUGGGUGCCUGUAAUCCCAGUUACUCGGGAGUCUGAGGCAGGAGAAUCACUUGAACUCGGGAGGUGGAGGUUGCAGUGAGCCAAGAUUGUACCACUGCACCCCAGCCUGGGUGACAGAGCGAGACUCCAUCUCAUCCAAACAAAAAAGAAAUUACUCAGAUGGAUUCAUCCUGUUUUGAAGAAAAAAAUGGGAAGAUUUGUGUAAACUUUAGUUUCUACAUUAUAUUUGUCUCCAGCAUUUAAUUUACAUGAAAAUGAGGCUAAUUCCUCCUAGCUCCUUUACUGUUCCUUCUCCAGUUCCUUACUGUUACCUAAGUCACAGGUAUUUGUAGGAAGUACCAUGAUGUAAACACCUUCUGAGCCCUCCCCGCCCACCCUUCUGCUGCAGAGUAAAGGGCACAUGAAAUCCCUGUAGCUGAGACCCUUGUUUUGAAAACUGAAAUUCCAGACCCAUGGGGACAAAUUAUUAAAUCUUUCAAGGAUUUGAAAGUGGAAAGA
RNAcentral lists this small RNA (1284 nucleotides) under Pan troglodytes (chimpanzee). RNAcentral describes it as "retained intron". The record is from RNAcentral. Lineage: Eukaryota; Metazoa; Chordata; Mammalia; Primates; Hominidae.